RNAcentral lists this ribosomal RNA (459 nucleotides) under uncultured bacterium. RNAcentral describes it as "partial 16S ribosomal RNA". It matches the Rfam family "Bacterial small subunit ribosomal RNA", at positions 338 to 795 of the family's 1533-position model. The record is from RNAcentral.
CCUACGGGUGGCAGCAGUGAGGAAUAUUGGUCAAUGGACGAGAGUCUGAACCAGCCAAGUAGCGUGAAGGAUGACUGCCCUAUGGGUUGUAAACUUCUUUUAUAAAGGAAUAAAAUGCGUCACGUGUGCCUUUUUGCAUGUACUUUAUGAAUAAGGAUCGGCUAACUCCGUGCCAGCAGCCGCGGUAAUACGGAGGAUGCGAGCGUUAUCCGGAUUUAUUGGGUUUAAAGGGUGCGUAGUCGGGCUGUUAAGUCAGCGUGCAAAUGUCGGGGCUCAACCCAGGCCUGCCGUUGAAACUGGCGGCCUGGAGUAGGGGAGAGGUAGGCGGAAUGCGUGGUGUAGCGGUGAAAUGCAUAGAUAUCACGAAGAACUCCGAUUGCGAAGGCAGCAUACCGGAGCGCAACUGACGCUGAGGCACGAAAGCGUGGGUAUCGAACAGGAUUAGAUACCCCAGUAGUC